Molecule: ribosomal RNA, 500 nt
Filed under: uncultured bacterium
Lineage: Bacteria
Description: partial 16S ribosomal RNA
Rfam family: Bacterial small subunit ribosomal RNA
Source: RNAcentral
GACGAACGCUGGCGGCGUGCUUAACACAUGCAAGUCGAACGGGUCUGCCCUGUUUUUUGCGGGGUGGGUCAGUGGCGAACGGGUGAGUAACACGUGAGUAACCUGCCCCUCACUUCUGGAUAACCGCUUGAAAGGGUGGCUAAUACGGGGUGUUCUGGCUGUGCCGCAUGGUGUGGCUGGGAAAGAUUCACUUUUGUGGUGUUUUGGUGGGGGAUGGGCUCGCGGCCUAUCAGCUUGUUGGUGGGGUGAUGGCCUGCCAAGGCUUUGACGGGUAGCCGGCCUGAGAGGGUGGGCGGUCACACUGGGACUGAGAUACGGCCCAGACUCCUCCGGGAGGCAGCAGUGGGGGGUAUUGCACAAUGGGCGGAAGCCUGAUGCAGCGACGUCGCGUGAGGGAUGGAGGCCUUCGGGUUGUGAACCUCUUUCGCCGGUGAAGAAGGUCCUGCUCUUUGUGGUGGGGUUGACGGUAGCCGGGUUAUGAAGCGCCGGCUAACUACGUG